ACGCGGGCGGCGUGCCUAACACAUGCAAGUCGAGCGAGAAAAGGGGGGCAACUCCCUGAGUACAGCGGCGCACGGGUGAGUAACACGUGGGUAAUCUGCCCUGGAGUGGGGAAUAACACCGGGAAACCGGUGCUAAUACCGCAUACGAUAGCGAGGUCUGCGGACUUUGUUAUGAAAGGAGCAAUUCGCUCUAGGAGGAGCCCGCGGCUGAUUAGCUAGUUGGUGAGGUAAUGGCUCACCAAGGCUACGAUCAGUAUCCGGUCUGAGAGGACGGUCGGACACACUGGAACUGAGACACGGUCCAGACUCCUACGGGAGGCAGCAGUGGGGAAUUUUUGGCAAUGGGGGCAACCCUGACCAAGCAACGCCGCGUGGGUGAUGAAGUCUCUUGGGACGUAAAACCCUUUCGACGGGGAAGAAACCGCAAGGUUGACGGUACCCGUAGAAGAAGCCCCGGCUAACUCCGUGCCAGCAGCCGCGGUAAUACGGGGGGGGCAAGCGUUGUUCGGAAUUACUGGGCGUAAAGGGCGCGUAGGCGGUGCUCUAAGUCGGAUGUGAAAACUCUGGGCUCAACCCAGAGCCUGCAUCCGAAACUGGAGUGCUAGAGUUCUGGAGGGGGUAGCGGAAUUCCUGGUGUAGCGGUGAAAUGCGUAGAUAUCAGGAGGAACACCGGUGGCGAAGGCGGCUACCUGGACAGAAACUGACGCUGAGGCGCGAAAGCUAGGGGAGCAAACAGGAUUAGAUACCCUGGUAGUCCUAGCCCUAAACGAUGGAUACUUGGUGUGACGGGGAUUGAAUCCCGUCGUGCCGAAGCUAACGCAUUAAGUAUCCCGCCUGGGGAGUACGGUUCGCAGGCUGAA
Molecule: ribosomal RNA, 860 nt
Filed under: uncultured bacterium
Lineage: Bacteria
Description: bacterial SSU rRNA
Rfam family: Bacterial small subunit ribosomal RNA
Source: RNAcentral